GUAGGUGGACCUGCGGAAGGAUCAUUAUAGAAUUAAACUUGCUUGGGUUGUUGCUGGUCCUUAGGGAUAUAUGUGCACACCUGAACAUUUAAAACCCAUAACCACUUGUGAACUUUUGUAGACCUAGAUGUCUUUCGAGAAGAAAUUCUCGGUUCAAAGAUUGCAAUGAAAUGAAAUUCAAAGCUUUCUUUACAUUUCUGGUCUAUGAUUUUCAUACAUACAACCUAACAAAGAAUAAAUGAUCUUUUAAAUAAAUUAAUACAACUUUCAACAAUGGAUUUCUUGGCUCUUGCAUCGAUGAAGAACGCAGCGAAAUGCGAUAAGUAAUGUGAAUUGCAGAAUUCAGUGAAUCAUCGAAUCUUUGAACGCACCUUGCGCUCUUUGGUAUUCCAAAGAGCAUGCCUGUUUGAGUGUCAUGAAAUUAUCAAACCUUUCUAGCUAUUUUCUUGAAUGGCUAGUCUGGGUUGGAUUUAUGGGAGUUUGCAGGCUUCUUCAAAAGUCAGCUCUUCUUAAAUAUAUUAGCAGAACAUUUGCCUAACAAAUCAGUUUGGUGUUGAUAAAUUAUCUAUACCAUUCAAAAGUUGGCAGGUUGUUUAGCUUUCUAAUAGUCUGUUUAGACAAUUUGAUUGACAAUUUGACCCCGCUGAACUUAAGCAUAUCAAUAAGCGGAGGAA
RNAcentral lists this ribosomal RNA (674 nucleotides) under Entoloma madidum. RNAcentral's name for it is "eukaryotic LSU rRNA". The stretch from base 263 to 416 matches the Rfam family "5.8S ribosomal RNA". Lineage: Eukaryota; Fungi; Basidiomycota; Agaricomycetes; Agaricales; Entolomataceae. The record is from RNAcentral.